UACGGAGGGUGCAAGCGUUAUCCGGAUUCACUGGGUUUAAAGGGUGCGUAGGAGGGCAGGUAAGUCAGUGGUGGAAUCUCCAAGCUUAACUUGGAAACUGCCGUUGAUACUAUCUGUCUUGAAUAUUGUGGAGGUGAGCGGAAUAUGUCAUGUAGCGGUGAAAUGCUUAGAUAUGACAUAGAACACCAAUUGCGAAGGCAGCUCACUACUCAAUCAUUGACUCUGAGGCACGAAAGCGUGGGGAUCAAACAGG
This 253-nucleotide ribosomal RNA is filed under the name uncultured bacterium. RNAcentral describes it as "partial 16S ribosomal RNA". It matches the Rfam family "Bacterial small subunit ribosomal RNA", at positions 524 to 776 of the family's 1533-position model. The record is from RNAcentral.